UACAGAGGGUGCGAGCGUUGUCCGGAAUCACUGGGCGUAAAGGGCGCGUAGGCGGAUUGUUAAGUCAGGGGUGAAAUCCUGGAGCUCAACUCCAGAACUGCCUUUGAUACUGGCGAUCUCGAGUCCGGGAGAGGUGAGUGGAACUGCGAGUGUAGAGGUGAAAUUCGUAGAUAUUCGCAAGAACACCAGUGGCGAAGGCGGCUCACUGGCCCGGUACUGACGCUGAGGUGCGAAAGCGUGGGGAGCAAACGGG
This 253-nucleotide ribosomal RNA is filed under the name uncultured bacterium. RNAcentral's name for it is "partial 16S ribosomal RNA". It matches the Rfam family "Bacterial small subunit ribosomal RNA", at positions 524 to 776 of the family's 1533-position model. The record is from RNAcentral.